Molecule: ribosomal RNA, 459 nt
Filed under: uncultured bacterium
Lineage: Bacteria
Description: partial 16S ribosomal RNA
Rfam family: Bacterial small subunit ribosomal RNA
Source: RNAcentral
CCUACGGGUGGCAGCAGUGAGGAAUAUUGGUCAAUGGACGCGAGUCUGAACCAGCCAAGUAGCGUGAAGGAUGACUGCCCUAUGGGUUGUAAACCUCUUUUAUCUGGGAAUAACAUGUUCCACGUGUGGGAUUUUGUAUGUUCCCUAUGAAUAAGGCUUGGCUAACUCCGUGCCAGCAGCCGCGGUAAUACGGAGGAUCCGAGCGUUUUCCGGAUUUAUUGGGUUUAAAGGGUGCGUAGGCGGAAUGCCAAGUCCGUGGUAAAAUCGAGGGGCUCAACCUCGCUCCGCCGUUGAAACUGGCGUUCUUGAGUGGGCGAGAAGUAUGCGGAAUGCGUGGUGUAGCGGUGAAAUGCAUAGAUAUCACGCAGAACGCCGAUUGCGAAGGCAGCAUACCGGCUCCCAACUGACGCUGAAGCACGAAAGCGUGGGUAUCGAACAGGAUUAGAUACCCCGGUAGUC